RNAcentral lists this ribosomal RNA (1448 nucleotides) under Lactiplantibacillus plantarum. Its description in RNAcentral is "bacterial SSU rRNA". It matches the Rfam family "Bacterial small subunit ribosomal RNA". Lineage: Bacteria; Bacillati; Bacillota; Bacilli; Lactobacillales; Lactobacillaceae. The record is from RNAcentral.
GGCGGCGUGCCUAAUACAUGCAAGUCGAACGAACUCUGGUAUUGAUUGGUGCUUGCAUCAUGAUUUACAUUUGAGUGAGUGGCGAACUGGUGAGUAACACGUGGGAAACCUGCCCAGAAGCGGGGGAUAACACCUGGAAACAGAUGCUAAUACCGCAUAACAACUUGGACCGCAUGGUCCGAGUUUGAAAGAUGGCUUCGGCUAUCACUUUUGGAUGGUCCCGCGGCGUAUUAGCUAGAUGGUGGGGUAACGGCUCACCAUGGCAAUGAUACGUAGCCGACCUGAGAGGGUAAUCGGCCACAUUGGGACUGAGACACGGCCCAAACUCCUACGGGAGGCAGCAGUAGGGAAUCUUCCACAAUGGACGAAAGUCUGAUGGAGCAACGCCGCGUGAGUGAAGAAGGGUUUCGGCUCGUAAAACUCUGUUGUUAAAGAAGAACAUAUCUGAGAGUAACUGUUCAGGUAUUGACGGUAUUUAACCAGAAAGCCACGGCUAACUACGUGCCAGCAGCCGCGGUAAUACGUAGGUGGCAAGCGUUGUCCGGAUUUAUUGGGCGUAAAGCGAGCGCAGGCGGUUUUUUAAGUCUGAUGUGAAAGCCUUCGGCUCAACCGAAGAAGUGCAUCGGAAACUGGGAAACUUGAGUGCAGAAGAGGACAGUGGAACUCCAUGUGUAGCGGUGAAAUGCGUAGAUAUAUGGAAGAACACCAGUGGCGAAGGCGGCUGUCUGGUCUGUAACUGACGCUGAGGCUCGAAAGUAUGGGUAGCAAACAGGAUUAGAUACCCUGGUAGUCCAUACCGUAAACGAUGAAUGCUAAGUGUUGGAGGGUUUCCGCCCUUCAGUGCUGCAGCUAACGCAUUAAGCAUUCCGCCUGGGGAGUACGGCCGCAAGGCUGAAACUCAAAGGAAUUGACGGGGGCCCGCACAAGCGGUGGAGCAUGUGGUUUAAUUCGAAGCUACGCGAAGAACCUUACCAGGUCUUGACAUACUAUGCAAAUCUAAGAGAUUAGACGUUCCCUUCGGGGACAUGGAUACAGGUGGUGCAUGGUUGUCGUCAGCUCGUGUCGUGAGAUGUUGGGUUAAGUCCCGCAACGAGCGCAACCCUUAUUAUCAGUUGCCAGCAUUAAGUUGGGCACUCUGGUGAGACUGCCGGUGACAAACCGGAGGAAGGUGGGGAUGACGUCAAAUCAUCAUGCCCCUUAUGACCUGGGCUACACACGUGCUACAAUGGAUGGUACAACGAGUUGCGAACUCGCGAGAGUAAGCUAAUCUCUUAAAGCCAUUCUCAGUUCGGAUUGUAGGCUGCAACUCGCCUACAUGAAGUCGGAAUCGCUAGUAAUCGCGGAUCAGCAUGCCGCGGUGAAUACGUUCCCGGGCCUUGUACACACCGCCCGUCACACCAUGAGAGUUUGUAACACCCAAAGUCGGUGGGGUAACCUUUUAGGAACCA